UAUCCAUCCAUAUUGUGUGCCCUACCCUU
This 29-nucleotide small RNA is filed under the name Bombyx mori (domestic silkworm). Its description in RNAcentral is "piRNA piR-bmo-1628605". Lineage: Eukaryota; Metazoa; Arthropoda; Insecta; Lepidoptera; Bombycidae. The record is from RNAcentral.